This 468-nucleotide ribosomal RNA is filed under the name uncultured bacterium. RNAcentral describes it as "partial 16S ribosomal RNA". It matches the Rfam family "Bacterial small subunit ribosomal RNA", at positions 28 to 507 of the family's 1533-position model. The record is from RNAcentral.
GACGAACGCUGGCGGCGUGCUUAACACAUGCAAGUCGAACGGAAAGGCCCUGCUUUUGUGGGGUGCUCGAGUGGCGAACGGGUGAGUAACACGUGAGUAACCUGUCCUUGACUUUGGGAUAACUUCAGGAAACUGGGGCUAAUACCGGAUAGGAGCUCCUGCUGCAUGGUGGGGGUUGGAAAGUUUCGGCGGUUGGGGAUGGACUCGCGGCUUAUCAGCUUGUUGGUGGGGUAGUGGCUUACCAAGGCUUUGACGGGUAGCCGUCCUGAGAGGGUGACCGGCCACGUUGGGACUGAGAUACGGCCCAGACUCCUACGGGAGGCAGCAGUGGGGAAUAGUGCACAAUGGGCGGAAGCCUGAUGCAGCAACGCCGCGUGCGGGAUGACGGCCUUCGGGUUGUAAACCGCUUUCGCCUGUGACGAAGCGUGAGUGACGGUAAUGGGUAAAGAAGCACCGGCUAACUACGUG